UCAAAAACAUGGCCUAUUGAUUUUAAUUUUAGGUUUAGCCUGCCCCCUGAAUUUUUAAAUGGCCGCGGUAUUUUGACCGUGCUAAGGUAGCAUAAUCAUUAGUUUCUUAAUUAGAAGCUGGAAUGAAUGGUUGGAUGAAAAAAGUUCUGUCUCUAUUUAAUUUUAUUAAAAAUUUAUUUUUUAGUAAAAAAGCUAAAAUUACUUUGAAAGACGAGAAGACCCUAUAGAGUUUUAUAUAUAAUAUUUUAAUAUUUAUUAGAAUAUAAAUUUUUAAUUUUAUAUUAUAUUUAAUUGGGGUGAUUGAAAAAUUAAGCUAACUUUUUCUUUUUUUUACAUUGAUUUAUGAAUUAUUGAUCCAUUUAUUAUGAUUAUAAGAUAAAAUUACCUUAGGGAUAACAGCGUAAUAUUUUCAGAGAGUUCUUAUCGAAGAAAAAGAUUGCGACCUCGAUGUUGGAUUAAAAUUUAUUUUUGGUGUAGAAGCUAAGAAUGUAGGUCUGUUCGACCUUUAAAAUUUUACAUGAUCUGA
RNAcentral lists this ribosomal RNA (526 nucleotides) under Bruchus pisorum (pea weevil). RNAcentral describes it as "partial 16S ribosomal RNA". It matches the Rfam family "Bacterial large subunit ribosomal RNA", at positions 1807 to 2608 of the family's 2925-position model. Lineage: Eukaryota; Metazoa; Arthropoda; Insecta; Coleoptera; Chrysomelidae. The record is from RNAcentral.